AAUCAACGCUGGCGGCGUGCCUCAGACAUGCAAGUCGAACGCGAAAGUUUCCUUCGGGAACAAGUAGAGUGGCGCACGGGUGAGUAACACGUAGGUAAUCUACCUUUGGAUGGGGAAUAACAAUCGGAAACGGUUGCUAAUACUGCAUAAUGCAGCGGCACCUAAUGGUGAUUAGUUGUUAAAGCGGGGGAUCGUAAGACCUCGCGCCUGGAGAGGAGCCUGCGGCAGAUUAGCUAGUUGGUAGGGUAAUGGCCUACCAAGGCGACGAUCGGUAGCUGGUCUGAGAGGACGACCAGCCACACUGGGACUGAGACACGGCCCAGACUCCUACGGGAGGCAGCAGUGGGGAAUAUUGGACAAUGGGC
Molecule: ribosomal RNA, 365 nt
Filed under: uncultured bacterium
Lineage: Bacteria
Description: bacterial SSU rRNA
Rfam family: Bacterial small subunit ribosomal RNA
Source: RNAcentral